Non-coding RNA from Penaeus vannamei (Pacific white shrimp), 285 nucleotides. Lineage: Eukaryota; Metazoa; Arthropoda; Malacostraca; Decapoda; Penaeidae. The record is from RefSeq and is a predicted model, not a curated record.
UUGACAGGUACACACCAUUUUAACAACAGACAUAUUUGGUGUUAUUCGUUCACUGAUGGCAUUCAGAUUGACUGGUGGAAAUAAAGAUUAUGUUGUGGUGGGAUCUGACUCUGGCAGAAUCACCAUUCUAGAAUAUAGUCAGGCUAAAAACCAGUUUGAGCGCAUCCACAUGGAGACAUUUGGUAAAAGUGGUUGCAGACGCAUUGUUCCUGGCCAGUAUCUUGCCAUUGAUCCAAAGGGCAGGGCAGUAAUGAUUGGUGCUGUUGAAAAGCAGAAGUUAGUGUA